GACGAACGCUGGCGGCGUGCUUAACACAUGCAAGUCGAACGGUGAAGGGAUCAGCUUGCUGGUUCUGGAUGAGUGGCGAACGGGUGAGUAACACGUGAGUAACCUGCCCCCUUCUUCUGGAUAACCGCAUGAAAGUGUGGCUAAUACGGGAUAUUCUGCGCCUGCUGCAUGGUGGGUGUGGGAAAGAUAUUGUUUCGGUGGGGGAUGGGCUCGCGGCCUAUCAGCUUGUUGGUGGGGUGAUGGCCUACCAAGGCGGUGACGGGUAGCCGGCCUGAGAGGGUGGACGGUCACACUGGGACUGAGACGCGGCCCAGACUCCUACGGGAGGCAGCAGUGGGGAAUAUUGCACAAUGGGCGCAAGCCUGAUGCAGCGACGCCGCGUGAGGGAUGGAGGCCUUCGGGUUGUGAACCUCUUUCGCCAGUGAAGCAGGCCUGUCCCUUGUGGGUGGGUUGACGGUAGCUGGAUAAGAAGCGCCGGCUAACUACGUG
RNAcentral lists this ribosomal RNA (489 nucleotides) under uncultured bacterium. RNAcentral's name for it is "partial 16S ribosomal RNA". It matches the Rfam family "Bacterial small subunit ribosomal RNA", at positions 28 to 507 of the family's 1533-position model. The record is from RNAcentral.